GAUGAACGCUGGCGGCGUGCCUAAUACAUGCAAGUCGAGCGAACGGACGAGAAGCUUGCUUCUCUGAUGUUAGCGGCGGACGGGUGAGUAACACGUGGAUAACCUACCUAUAAGACUGGGAUAACUUCGGAAAACCGGAGCUAAUACCGGAUAAUAUUUUGAACCGCAUGGUUCAAAAGUGAAAGACGGUCUUGCUGUCACUUAUAGAUGGAUCCGCGCUGCAUUAGCUAGUUGGUAAGGUAACGGCUUACCAAGGCAACGGUGCAUAGCCGACCUGAGAGGGUGAUCGGCCACACUGGAACUGAGACACGGUCCAGACUCCUACGGGAGGCAGCAGUAGGGAAUCUUCCGCAAUGGGCGAAAGCCUGACGGAGCAACGCCGCGUGAGUGAUGAAGGUCUUCGGAUCGUAAAACUCUGUUAUUAGGGAAGAACAUAUGUGUAAGUAACUGUGCACAUCUUGACGGUACCUAAUCAGAAAGCCACGGCUAACUACGUG
RNAcentral lists this ribosomal RNA (497 nucleotides) under uncultured bacterium. RNAcentral describes it as "partial 16S ribosomal RNA". It matches the Rfam family "Bacterial small subunit ribosomal RNA", at positions 28 to 507 of the family's 1533-position model. The record is from RNAcentral.